GGGGAGCGCAGGAUCUUGGGCUGCGUCCCUCGGCUCCCGGGACCCGGGCCUGCGCCAUUGGAAUCGCGCUCCCGGGGCCGCGCAGCUCCCU
RNAcentral lists this microRNA precursor (91 nucleotides) under Canis lupus familiaris (dog). Its description in RNAcentral is "mir-8799 microRNA precursor family". It matches the Rfam family "mir-8799 microRNA precursor family". Lineage: Eukaryota; Metazoa; Chordata; Mammalia; Carnivora; Canidae. The record is from Rfam by way of RNAcentral. RNAcentral also lists the same sequence under 1 other name.